RNAcentral lists this long non-coding RNA (410 nucleotides) under Heterocephalus glaber (naked mole-rat). RNAcentral's name for it is "lncRNA (ENSHGLG00100043516.1)". Lineage: Eukaryota; Metazoa; Chordata; Mammalia; Rodentia; Bathyergidae. The record is from RNAcentral.
CAAAGAGCAGCUCAACCCAUAUUGUUAUUUAAUUCUAAGGAUAAAGCCAUCUUCCCAUGGAGAAGGCGAUGUGCACAGGAGAUAAUGUUAAUGAAACUCUAUACCUGGGGCUGGAAUCAUCAGCAAUUAUUCAUCAAUAAGGAAGAAGAGAUAGUGACAUUUGAAUUAAGACCAGAAGGAAGUGAGAAAAUGAAUAAUGCAAACAUUUGGGGAAAGAGCACUCUAGGCAGAGGAGGCAACUGCAAAGGCCACUGUUGUGGGUAUAAUUGUGUUCUCCUGAAAGAAGACACAGAAACAGAGACACAUGGGAGAAUGCCAUGUGAUGACAGAGGAGAGACUGAAAUGGUACAGCCACAAGCUCAGGAAUGCCAAGAAUUGAGAGCCACCACCAGAAGCUAGGAAGAGGUAAG